Molecule: long non-coding RNA, 1471 nt
Filed under: Struthio camelus australis
Lineage: Eukaryota; Metazoa; Chordata; Aves; Struthioniformes; Struthionidae
Description: lncRNA (ENSSCUG00000003635.1)
Source: RNAcentral
GGAGAGGCCACAGGCAGGCGUGUCUCGUAACGGAGCGGGAAAAUCCCCCCCCGCGCGUCAGCUGGGAGUCCGCGGAGGCCUUCGGAAGGGCUGUUAAAAUGCGAUAGUCGCCGCGCAAAGAAAUGGAGGGUUACGUUUGGGUGCGCGGCAACGGUUUCUGAGAGGGAAUCCGUUUCUGAGAGGAAAACGUUCGGGAACCAGGACGUCACAGAAAAUACAUUUCUCGCACUGAAAGGGUAGAUGAAAGAUCUCCCCUCCCCUCCCCCCAAGGCAAAGUCUGCAGGAAGGGGACCACACUAACUGUCAGGUACUGGAUUUCCCCCAAGGCUUUGCUGUUUCUUCAGAUUAACCUGUCGCUCUCUGCCAUCCCCCUUCCAUUGGCCUGACAGAUGGGCUAGACAGAGGUGUGUGAGAUCUCAGCUUCUUAGAUCCAUGUCUUGGAAAAAAAACAAGAUUUAAAUCAACCUUCUCCAGGGACAGCAAAAGGAAUUACAAACACUAACAAAAGCAAAGCAAACAACAGGACCAGUCCUUUAAAAUUUGAGAAACAACUGUUUCUGAAAACAGGAGGAAUGACAACUAUUCUCCAAAAUGCAUCUUAAAAGUGAAAAGAGCAGAAGCUUAUUUUUAAAAGCUUUUGAAAUACUUUUUUACAUGUUUGUGUAAGAGAUUAAAAGCCUGUUAAACAGUUUUCUCAUUUCCCCGCUUACAGACCAAGCCAGUUGGGAUACAAAUAGACAUUGUAUUACAAAUAUUUUUCAUUUCUAAGUACUUUUUUUCUUCCUUUUUUUAAGAAUCUUUCAUCUGAGGCUUUAAAACGUACAGGAUGCUGGGAGCCCGGUGCUUACUACUGGAAAGGGAGUUUAUCCGCCAGGAUCUAACAGGAGCAAAUUUGCUUUGUGGUGUUAAGUUUCGGGUUGCACCAUGGAAAUGUUCAAAUCAGAGCAUGGAUCAAACUCCUCAGCAUAGCCCAGUGAAGCCUCUCCCGGCUUCUUUAGUGACCAGCUACGGGGAAAGCACCAAGUCCUCGGAGAGCUGCGGCACAUUCAGCUUCGUUGUUGCUGUCAAACUCGCAGAACAGUUGAGGUUGGGUGGUGCCUCUGGAGACUGCCCAGUCCAAGCCCUGCUCCAGCAGGGCCAGCUCGCGCAGCCUGCCUAGGCCUAGCUCCAGCUGAGGUUUGACCAUCUCCACAGAUGGCCUCCACAGCCUCUCUGGGCAGCCUGUCCCCAUGUUCAGCCACCCUCACAGCGAAGACGUGGUUUCUCGUGUUCAGUCUGGAGGACUCUGUAACCGGCCUUCCUUGGAGGGAUGCAUGGGGCCAGAUCCUACCUGGGCAACUGGGACAACGGGGAUGGCAGCCACGCCUUCCUUGGGCAGUGGCGCAGACCUCUGGCAUGCCUCGAAGGGCUCAGAGGUCCCAGGACGUUAUGGGACGACGGCAGCCACGGCAGGCACCGCAGACACGAGGUC